RNAcentral lists this ribosomal RNA (113 nucleotides) under Acanthosepion pharaonis. The record is from RNAcentral. Lineage: Eukaryota; Metazoa; Mollusca; Cephalopoda; Sepiida; Sepiidae.
UAUGGCCACAUCACGCUGAAACACCAGUUUCCGUACGGUCACCGAAGUUAAGCAAUGUCAAGCCUGCUCAGUACCUACAUGGGUGACCGCUUGGGAAUAUUAGGUGUAGUAAG